UACGUAGGGUGCAAGCGUUAAUCGGAAUUACUGGGCGUAAAGCGUGCGCAGGCGGUUAUGUAAGACAGAUGUGAAAUGGCCGGGCUUAACCUGGGAACUGCAUUUGUGACUGCAUGGCUAGAGUUUGGCAGAGGGGGGUAGAAUUCCACGUGUAGCAGUGAAAUGCGUAGAUAUGUGGAGGAACACCGAUGGCGAAGGCAGCCCCCUGGGUCAAGACUGACGCUCAUGCACGAAAGCGUGGGGAGCAAACAGG
This 253-nucleotide ribosomal RNA is filed under the name uncultured bacterium. Its description in RNAcentral is "partial 16S ribosomal RNA". It matches the Rfam family "Bacterial small subunit ribosomal RNA", at positions 524 to 776 of the family's 1533-position model. The record is from RNAcentral.